This 199-nucleotide ribosomal RNA is filed under the name uncultured bacterium. RNAcentral's name for it is "partial 16S ribosomal RNA". It matches the Rfam family "Bacterial small subunit ribosomal RNA", at positions 63 to 265 of the family's 1533-position model. The record is from RNAcentral.
CGAGCGGGGAAGGUAGCUUGCUACCUAACCUAGCGGCGGACGGGUGAGUAAUGCUUAGGAAUCUGCCUAUUAGUGGGGGACAACAUUCCAAAAGGAAUGCUAAUACCGCAUACGUCCUACGGGAGAAAGCAGGGGACCUUCGGGCCUUGCGCUAUUAGAUGAGCCUAAGUCGGAUUAGCUAGUUGGUGGGGUAAAGGCC